Molecule: long non-coding RNA, 351 nt
Filed under: Lathyrus oleraceus (garden pea)
Lineage: Eukaryota; Viridiplantae; Streptophyta; Magnoliopsida; Fabales; Fabaceae
Description: Pisum sativum (pea) long non-coding RNA (PSAT_LNC017611)
Source: RNAcentral
UCAUGAGUUAUUCAAGAUUCAAGAAACUAAAUUUCUAUCCAAGUUCUAAUGUCUACAAUUUGGAAUUGUGAAAAGUUUGAGUUUAAAUACAACAAGUUGAUUUGCAAAGAAGAAUUCAAGAGACUUCAUUUUACAUCAUCAUUUCUCAUGUUACAAAAAGUUCUCAAGAUUCUAAAUCUAUUUCUAAACCUUCCAUGCCAUGAAUUUCUUCAUGUUCCAAAGCCUCCUUGAAUUUAUCCUUACAUUUUUCAAACUCCAUAACCAUGGUUCUUACCAUCUUGUACAUGUUUUCAACACAACUCAACAUUGUUCAUACCAUAAAAAAGAAGAAGAAAGUGUUGAUAUUAGUAC